UCGCUGGUAGCUGAGUGGACAGAGCACGGGACUCGUAAUCCCGUGGCCCGGGUUCGAUUCCCGGCGCCGGCAAG
This is a non-coding RNA of Procambarus clarkii (red swamp crayfish), 74 nucleotides long. The record is from the annotation of a RefSeq genome assembly. NCBI's taxonomy places the organism in Eukaryota, Metazoa, Arthropoda, Malacostraca, Decapoda, Cambaridae.